AAAGGGUGGGGCGCGCAGCCCCAUAGGGGAGACCCCAAACCCAACUCCCAGAAGAUGGAGAUGUUACAGGGGAAGAGUGUUUGUUGUGCCUUCCGUUCACCAGUGUAUCGUCAUGAUGUUAGGUUUCUCUCACUGUUGUAUGGGUUAGGUUGAGAGUAGAUCAUGGGUGUAAGGGCAGUGGGUAGACUCUGAAGGAGAAGAGAAGCGUGUUGAAUAGGUUGCGCCUUCUGUUCGCUGAUUUCGUCAUUGAAGGUGUUGCUCGGCGCUGGUUUAUGUCAGAUGAGGACUGUACGGAUGUAACGGUGGAGCCAAUCGUGUAGCAACAAGUUAGCUUCUUUUAUUCAAUUCAUCACGUUUCAAGUAAGAUCACAGACUUCCAUCAUCCUUCAAAUAGUUACCCUAUUAAAAUUUAAAUAACCUCCUACUAGCUGUAGAGUGAUAGUGUAAUGGCCUUUUCCCUUUGUAAUCUCUAUAAAUACCCCCUAUGUUUGUUCAUUACCCUGAUGUCUUCCCCUCCAGAGCUUUAGUGUAUCAGCUCUUGCUUUGGGGCUUGCUCAAUGGCGUGCGGGUAUUGGCAUGUGGUACUCCAACUUGGAGAUUUUCUCUUCCUUCACUCCGUCACCACCAACCUCUCUCAAAAAUGUUGUGGAGAAACCUUGUGGUAAGGAUUUUCAAUCUGCAGAAGAACUUAGUACUGAGAUUGGAGAGUUGUAUGAGGAGCCACAGAUUUAGCACAUUGAUCAUUACUUGGGAAAGAAACUUGUGUAAAACUUGCUAAUCCAGUUAUUACUUCAAUUCGCAAAUUGACUUUUCUUACCUCUUUGGAAGCGCGACAACAUUGCCAAUCUUUCUCCUUCUAGGAGGAUGGCAAUCAAGACUGUUGCAGGGUGAGCAAGGUUAGACUCUGGAGGGGGGAACUUGAGGGCCUCACAACAUAAAUUAUUGGGCAGAGAAAAAAUCAGUCACCUGGUACCAGCUUCGUGAAAUGCAACCCGGUUGCGAAUUUCAAAGGCCAUUAUAUAUAGAAGAGAUGCUAUUUUGGCCAUGACUCGCGCUGUAAGACAGUCAGGUCUCCAUCCUUCUGAUGUACAUUAUAUAAAUGCGCAUGCUACACCUACUACUUUGGGCAAGUGAAGUGAACCCUCACUGAUUCCAGCAAUUUAAGCCUGGGUGAUGCAAUAGAAGCAAAUGCUAUCAAAACCAUAUUCUCUAAUCAUGCUAACUCAUCUUCUUUAGCCUUCUCUUCCACCAAGGGGGCUAUUGGUCAUUUCGAGGUGCUGCUGGAGCUGUUGAAGCAAUAUUUACAGUUUUGGCAAUACGACAUGGAAUUGCUCAAUUAACUCUUAAUUUAACUAAGCCACAUCCUGUAUUCAGUGAUGGUUUCAUGCCAUUGACUACUUCCGAGGAGAUGCCAAUUGGAGUAGCUAUGCCAAAUUCAUUUGGUUUUGGAAGAACAAAUUUGUCCCUACUUUUUGCUCGCACCGGAUCUGACUAAUGAGAUAGUUGCAUCUCACUCCAUCGUAUGGAAAAAUAACUCAUAUUGACCUAAAUGUUCCGCCAAGGCCUCCUGGCUAUGCGUUUGUAGAGUUUGAAGACACUCAAGAUGUUGAGGAUGCAAUUCGUGGGUGCAAUGGUUAUGAUUUUGAUGGUCACCGUUUAUGGGUUGGUUAUAUCUUAUAAUUACAAGCUUUAUUGUUCUGACAACUACAAUUACUCCUACCAAAAGUUGGGGGAAAAACAAGAUAGCUUCAAUGAAUUGCUGAUAUUGUUGAAAUUUGUAUCUCUACAGGUGGAGCUUGCUCAUGGUGGAUUAGUUCAAUAAUAUAGUUGUCACCAUUGUUUUUUUUUUCAUUUGCUGAACUUUUGAACUUCUUUUUCUCUCUCUCUCUUUGUGAAACUGUAGAGACACUACAACAAGUUUCUGAAGAAGAAACGUCCCUGGGCUUCCCUUGAGGAAAAAUUAGAAGAAGAAAUGGAGCAGAAGCUAGAGCUUUUCUUGCAAACAAGCUGUAAAAGCAAAAGCGGUAGAGCAAAAAGCCAUUGAGAAUGAUGUCUCACAUGAAAAAGGUAGAAGUCUCAAUUUCAGAUUCAAAUGAUACUGACAGAAGGGUUUGCAUCUCUAAGUGGAAAAAUCAAGGAAUCUGAAGAUUUGUUUGAGACGACAUAAGCAGCUUCCAUGGUUCAGGUGGAAGUAAUCAACACAAGGAAGAAAUAAAGGCUGCAACAUACUUGGCUUUGAGGAAUGCAUGCAGAGAUAGCAGAUUCUGAAAAGCUAAUUUCUCACAACUUUUUUCGCUUUUACUUGUGCAAUUGUUGGAGUUUGAUGAGUCAAAGACCUGCAAAUUCAUCCCAAGAAGAUGUUAUGCUAAAAGUCAACUUACCCAAUACCAAUACUUCUGAGUCACAAAAGAGAUGAUUUUUUAUAUUUGGGAAUGACUUUUUAAGCUAACUUAUUUAGCAGCCCACCUCUGUAACAGAUUGUGAUUAAAUGAAAUGUGUUCAUGUUGUUUUUCA
This is a long non-coding RNA of Lotus japonicus, 2514 nucleotides long. RefSeq lists it as uncharacterized. The transcript is spliced from 11 exons. The record is from RefSeq and is a predicted model, not a curated record. Lineage: Eukaryota; Viridiplantae; Streptophyta; Magnoliopsida; Fabales; Fabaceae.